CUAGCGGCUGACGACGUUAAAGCAGCUGCAGCUAGCUUUAUCGCGCCAUCAUUUGCGACGAAUAAAAUCGGAGCGCAGUUUUCAUUUUUUGUUUUUUAAUAAUAUCUGUUGUUAACGCAGCUGUCGCGUAGUUAAGUCGCCUUAAGCGCAUAAUUUAACAAGUGCGGUUGUUAAGUGUUUCAUUUGUUUUCUUCUAUAACUGCGUUUUUUCGUUUGCUUUGCCCUUCGUACGCGUUUCGAUGGCCUGUGUGCAUUGCGCUCGCUCUCUCCUUCCAUGCCUUGGAUCGCCAUAUUGCCGGUGAGAGCCUAGUAGCCAUCAAAAAGCAACGAAAUCAGAGAGAGAGAGAGAGAGAGAGAGCCAAGCUGUUCGAGUGCCAUCUUGUUUUUUUUUUUUACAUUUUUUUUAUUGUGCAAUUCAAAGUGCAUUUCUCUUACAGCAGAUCAGCGCACAUGAAAUCAAUGGAAGCGCUUUCGAAGAUGGCAUGGAAAGCACUUUAUUUCGUGAACCUUAUAUUUGUAGAAUAAACACCUGCUCUCUGACGUCGUUCGCUAUAUGUUGAUAACGAUAAAAUAAUCGGGCCUGUGGAUUUACUACAAGAAGAUAAUGACGCACACAUCGUGCGUGUGGACUUGCGGAACUGGAAGCUGACUUAAACGAAGUUUGGUUCGAUUGACAUUCAUAGAUCAAAACAGAAUGUUUGCGCGAGUUGAGCAGGAAGGACAAACUGGCCGCAGGAUAGGGACUCCAGCAGAAACACGCUAAGCCCGAGCUCUGGGCAUAGGUCAAGCCUGACUGGACUUACCCAAAAGAUUUCACUUUAAGCGCUGGUGCGUGUCUAAGCUGUGUUCGAAGCGUUGGUGCGUGUCUAUGCUUAAGCUAAUUGCACAAUGGACGUACGAAAUUGCAAUGGAACAGAAAUAACAAGAGCAGCAACAGGCCGUAGCCACAUGCCACUUGCAAGGCCUCAAGGAUGCUUCAAACUCUGGCCACACCUACAGUCUUUGCUGUUUGCAGGCCGACAAAAACUAAGCUGCAAUAUUUAAAAAUAUUCAACAAACGUUCGAUAACUAAGUGCACAGAGCUUAAAAUCAAUUCAAGUUUUUGAUCAAAUUGAAUUGCCAAAGA
Molecule: long non-coding RNA, 1126 nt
Organism: Drosophila virilis
Lineage: Eukaryota; Metazoa; Arthropoda; Insecta; Diptera; Drosophilidae
Source: RefSeq, a predicted model, not a curated record